This 73-nucleotide transfer RNA is filed under the name Marinilabiliales bacterium. RNAcentral describes it as "tRNA-Pro". It matches the Rfam family "tRNA". Rfam says of the family: Transfer RNA (tRNA) molecules are approximately 80 nucleotides in length. RNAcentral also lists the same sequence under 1 other name. The record is from RNAcentral. Lineage: Bacteria; Pseudomonadati; Bacteroidota; Bacteroidia; Marinilabiliales.
CGGGGUGUAGCGCAGUUGGCAGCGCGCGUCGUUCGGGACGACGAGGUCGGAAGUUCGAGUCUUCUCACCCCGA